Apis mellifera (honey bee) is the source of this 3005-nucleotide long non-coding RNA. RefSeq lists it as uncharacterized. The transcript is spliced from 8 exons. The record is from RefSeq and is a predicted model, not a curated record. NCBI's taxonomy places the organism in Eukaryota, Metazoa, Arthropoda, Insecta, Hymenoptera, Apidae.
AACAAGAGGAGCCUGGCCACCCUCGACCACGCGGAGGACAGCGUGACCGGGGAAAUAUCAAGGUCGCUGUCCUCCGCCUUAUCCAUCCUUAUCUCCGACUCGAGGCCCAUAAUCCCGGCCAACGUGCUGCUCGUGGAUUGGAAAUUUUUGAAAGCAUUCGAUGGAUCAAGGAAGCAUCAAAGGAAGCUGAAAGAGUACAAGUCUCUUGGGAGGAAAAAUUUUCGACGAGUAAGAGCGGAUGGAGAAAGAUUUGUGGAGAAGGAGAAGGUGGCAAUCAGUGUCCUUCACUAGCCACCUUGUUUAAUAGCGCAUAUCCAUUUAUAUCGGACGUGGGGAUCGCCAAGGGGAGAGAUGGCUGCAUAGCGAUUCACGAAAGAUGUCAGAUGAGUUAGGUGCGGUGAGACUGACGCGCUCUAACAAGUCUCUCUCGAGUUACGCCUCGUUGUUCCCGCUGCUUCUUUCCUGGUUUAAUUAAAAAUGUCUGCUCACCGCGUUGAUGGAAGUGGAGGAAAAUUCGUUGUUUUUAUCGAGGAAUUUUUCAACCGGUAUGGAAAAACUUGAAGAAAUUACAACGUUAAUAUUUUAAAAAAAAAUAAUUGCUGUGUUGUUAAAUUUCUUUGAUCGAUAAUUGACGAUUUUUUCCUUUCGUCAUGCGACUGGAUGAAUGUUGGAAGAAUGAAGAAUAAUUUAAAGAAAUUUUAAAUUUGAAUCGGAGAAUGGAAGAAAACUGUGUUAUCACCGAGUUUGAAAAACAAGAUGAAAUGGAGAUACCUUUGUCGGGCAUUGAGACUUCAUUGAAUGAAAUCUCUCACGUAUUCAUACGUGGGGGGGGAAGGGUUUGGUAAAGAUUUAUACGGAAUGGUUGGAGGAGGGGAUAUAUCCUCGAAAGAGGAAAUACCAUUCUGCAUUUUCUAGCAGGGCGAAUUCUCUCAAGAGUCAAACAUUUAGUAGACUUUGUCUGGGAAACAUUCCAGGGGAAGAGACACACAUGUCCUCUCCCUUUUCUUCUUAUCUUCCUUUUCUUAUUUCCCUUUUGGAAAUGGGGGAGAAAGGGGAGAAAGAAUCGAUGCAAAUUCUAUUCGAAUCGGGGUAAAUUAACACGUGCGACGUAUGGUAAUAAGGCAGACGAUUGUGUAUUCCCAGCAAACAUUAUUCUCCCCCCAGAUUAUCACGUCGAUGAAACGUAUUAUAAUAAUCGAUGAAUCGGAUUAUCUGUCAAGGGAUUAAUCGAUAUUUCGAAUUAUAUUCGUCCUCCAAGAAGAAAUUUCUCUAAGAACAAUCAUUGCAACUUUGUUAAUUUAAUAGGAAAAUCAGUUUGGAGCAAAGAUGUUCAAAAGAAGAAUUAAUUGAAACAAUAUUUGGACAAAAUGGCGAUGUAAAUUAAUCUGGUUGAGAAGCUCUGUUUCUGAGAGAGGAUAACAAAGAAACGAGAGUCGUUUCAAUAUAUCGAGUAUUAUUACCCUGCAUUGAGAAGAUUUUGAUCGGAAAUAUGAUUUAAUCCAAUUAUUCGUGACUCGAUGAAAAAUAUUUCCUAUUUCCAGGAACUUUUUUAAAAUUGCCGGGGGAGGACGCAUUGCUCGAGUUCCGCGAGCCGAAUAAUUGGGACGAGGAGUUAAUUACACGCACAAAGAAGAUUCUUCAGAUAUCAGAAAACAAUUUUAAUCCUGCUUAACCUUCGGGCAUAUUUGAAAAUGAAAAUUGAAAAAAAUUAAACUCGAUCGAAAAAGAGAGGAAAUCGAGAUGAAAGGGGGAAAAAAUUACCUCUUCGAUAGGAGAAAGGAGAGAGAAAAAAAAAAAGAGAAGAAAAAUCCAUCUCGCGUUAUUCCAUCCACAUAAACGAGUCGCGUGGCAAAUAUUUGUAACCGCUUCUGAAAAUAUCUCUCGUCGGCUAAAUGCAAUCAACUGUUCCUCUCUCUGCGCAGAAAGAAGGCUUGUUUCGCAAUUGAAGCGACACUAGCGCCACGCAGCGGUUAACUAUCUAACUACUUACUAACCUCUAUUGCGUUUCCAAUUGGAGAGGUGGAUGGAAAAUACGUACAAAGAUCUGUGUUAUUAUUUAUUUCAUGAUUAUGCUUGUUUUUAAGUAAAUUAACUAAUAUAUAUAUCUUCUUUCGAUUCGUUAUAAAAAUUGAUACAACAGAAGACUGCAGAGCACGGCUGCUUAAGAACCACUGCUUACCUUGCGCAAAUUGUAAGAGCAUGGUAUUCACAAUAUACCCGUUGAAUUAACGGGAAGAAUUAAAUUCCAAACAUUUUAACAGAAAUAUCUGUUUGGACGAGGCAUUAAUGGGAUCGAAAGGAGAGCAGCGGAGCGAGAUUUCGAAUUGGAAGGCCGAAUUCGUUCGAAAUACGAAGGAAAGGGGGCGCUUCUUUCAACCGAUUACUCCUUUGUGACGAGGGUAGCACGCUGUAGAAUCGAAUAUAACGAUGCACCGAUGUCUUUUCACCUCUGGAAGGUGAACGUUACCGACGAAAAGGAGGAAGAAUCGAAAAUUUCUCCAAGGACGCGUUUCACUUUUCAUCGCCCGUUCGACUUUUAAUGCAGCAAGCCAGAUUGGACGAUUGUAAAAGCGUGGUAGAAGUUUCUUUUGUGCUGAUGUUUCUCAGUGAACCAAACUGAUCCCAAUCUUUCUCUUUUCUUCUUUUUUUUGAAAUUUUUGUUAUUUAUACAUAUACAGAUUUGGCUUUUUGUAAAAAUGUAGGACAUGUAUCCUAUAUUUGAAGGCUUGCUCUAUUUCAAUUAUUUAUUUUACAACUUGAUAAAAUAGCUUCCAAUUGAUAUUUUGUCUCCAUUGUCCCUAGUUCAAUUAAACUGAUAGCAACUUGAUAAAUUAGCUUCAUAUUUUGUCUCUAUUGUCUUGUGCUUUGUUUCAAUCAAGUUUGUAACUUGAUGAAUCAGCUCCCAAUUGAUAUUUUGUCUCUAUUUCAAUCAAGUUUUGCAAUUUAAUGAAUCAGCUUCCAAUUAAUAUUUUGUCUCUAUUUCAAUAAAGUUGAUAGCAACUUGA